This 429-nucleotide ribosomal RNA is filed under the name uncultured prokaryote. RNAcentral's name for it is "bacterial SSU rRNA". It matches the Rfam family "Bacterial small subunit ribosomal RNA", at positions 352 to 796 of the family's 1533-position model. The record is from RNAcentral.
CAGUGGGGAAUUUUCCGCAAUGGGGGCAACCCUGACGGAGCAACGCCGCGUGGGGGAGGACGGUCUGUGGAUUGUAAACCCCUUUUCCCUAGGAAGAAGCUCUGACGGUACUAGAGGAAUCAGCAUCGGCUAACUCCGUGCCAGCAGCCGCGGUAAGACGGAGGAUGCAAGCGUUAUCCGGAAUUAUUGGGCGUAAAGCGUCCGUAGGCGGUUGUUUAAGUCUGCCGUUAAAGACUACAGCUCAACUGUGGGCCGGCGGUGGAAACUGAAUAACUGGAGUACGGUAGGGGUAGAGGGAAUUCCCAGUGUAGCGGUGAAAUGCGUAGAUAUUGGGAAGAACACCAGUGGCGAAGGCGCUCUACUGGGCCGUAACUGACGCUGAGGGACGAAAGCUAGGGGAGCGAAAGGGAUUAGAUACCCGCGUAGUCC